This 430-nucleotide ribosomal RNA is filed under the name Pseudomonadota bacterium. RNAcentral's name for it is "Proteobacteria bacterium partial 16S ribosomal RNA". It matches the Rfam family "Bacterial small subunit ribosomal RNA", at positions 355 to 776 of the family's 1533-position model. Lineage: Bacteria; Pseudomonadati; Pseudomonadota. The record is from RNAcentral.
UGGGGAAUAUUGGACAAUGGGGGGAACCCUGAUCCAGCCAUGCCGCGUGUGUGAAGAAGGCCUUAUGGUUGUAAAGCACUUUAAGCGAGGAGGAGGGUACUGGUAUUAAUACUACCAGGUACUGGACGUUACUCGCAGAAUAAGCACCGGCUAACUCUGUGCCAGCAGCCGCGGUAAUACAGAGGGUGCGAGCGUUAAUCGGAUUUACUGGGCGUAAAGCGUGCGUAGGCGGCUAAUUGAGUCGGAUGUGAAAUCCCCGGGCUUAACUUGGGAAUUGCAUUCGAUACUGGUUAGCUAGAGUGUGGGAGAGGAUGGUAGAAUUCCAGGUGUAGCGGUGAAAUGCGUAGAGAACUGGAGGAAUACCGAUGGCGAAGGCAGCCAUCUGGCCUAACACUGACGCUGAGGUACGAAAGCAUGGGGAGCAAACAGG